UGUUAGACUUUAAGAUUAAGUAGAAAUUUAUUGGUUUGUAGUUAAAUAAUAUAAAAGAAGUUUUUCUGUAAAAGUAAAAGGUGAAAUUAGGUUGCUUUUUAUAGAUAAAUUAUCGUUUGUUUUUGAAGCUAAAAAUUUUUAGAUUUAAACUAGGAUUAGAUACCCUAUUAUACUGGAAAAUAAAAUUAAAACUUGAUUAUUAAUAGUUAUGUUCUUUAAAUUUGAAGAAUUUGGCGGUAGUUUAGUCUUGCUAGAGGAACCUGUUUUUUAAACGAUAAUCCACGCAAUAUCUUACUUAUCUUUGUUUUCAGUUUGUAUACCGUCAUUAACAGAUAAUUUUAAAAGAAAAAAUUGUUGUAUAUUAAUAAAUUAAUAAAAUUAGAUCAAGGUGCAGCUUAUAGAGAAGUUAAAAUGGGUUACAAUAAAAUUUAUUUAUAAUGAAUAAAAUAAAGAACAUUAUUUUUGAAAGAGGAUUUAAUUGUAAUAAAAGUUUAAUAUGCUUUUAUGAGAUAAGCUCUAAAUUAUGUACAUAUUGCCCGUCGCUUUCAUUUAUAAGUGAGAUAAGA
RNAcentral lists this ribosomal RNA (566 nucleotides) under Menippidae sp. 2 KYKC-2019. RNAcentral's name for it is "partial small subunit ribosomal RNA". The record is from RNAcentral. Lineage: Eukaryota; Metazoa; Arthropoda; Malacostraca; Decapoda; Menippidae.